AUCAACAGCACACUUUGUGAGCUACUCUCUUCUGAGAGGAGUUUUACGGCUGCUUACCAUCCCCAAACAAAUGGGCUUGAUGAGAAAACCAAUGAUAACAUCAGACGUCCAAAAACUUUGGUCUUCUAAAGAUACAGGACAAGUGGAAGCGGUCGUGGGACCAUACAAAAUUUAUGAUACCUCUUUUAGAACACUAGCGGGACACGGCUGGCUUUCAGAUGAGGUGAAAGUACAUCCAUGUGAUAUACAAGUUUAAUGUUUCAGUGCUGUAUCAAAUUAAAUUACUAACAACUUUUUUUGUUUACACAGAUCAUUGAUGCAUACCUGCACUACAUUAUGAAAUUAGCCAAGAUACCUGUGCAUUGGUUAGACGCUGUACUUGGGUCCUCUGUCUUUCAUCGUGGCCAUUUAAAAAAGUGUGAAAAAGUGACGUGACAUACAGCCAAGUAUGGGGACCCAUACUCGGAAUCCGUGCUCUACUUUUAACCCAUCCAAAGUGCACACACACACCGUGAACACACACCUGGAGCAGUGGGCAGCCAUUUAUGCUGCGGCGUCCGGGGGGCAGUUGGGGGUUCGUUGCCUUGCUCAAGGGCACCUAAGUCGUGGUAUUGAGGGUGGAGAGAGCACUGUACAUGCACUCCCCCCACCUACAAUUCCUGCCGGCCAGAGACUCGAACUCACAACCCUUGGACUUCCUGUUUUUUUUUUUUUUUUUUUUAAGAGUUGUUCAAAAGAUGAAGUUACCCACAGCCUCAACUUGGAUUUGUCCUGUAAACGUUGGAGGUCACUGGAUUUUAGUGAUUGUCAAAAUGGAUGA
Molecule: long non-coding RNA, 820 nt
Organism: Cyprinus carpio (common carp)
Lineage: Eukaryota; Metazoa; Chordata; Actinopteri; Cypriniformes; Cyprinidae
Source: Ensembl